CUACGGGUGGCAGCAGUAAAGAAUCUUCCACAAUGGGCGAAAGCCUGAUGGAGCAAUACCGCGUGAACGAUGAAUGUCGAAAGAUUGUAAAGUUCUUUUCUGAGGGAAGAAUUAUGACGGUACCUCAGGAAUAAGCACCGGCUAACUCCGUGCCAGCAGCCGCGGUAAUACGGAGGGUGCAAGCGUUACCCGGAAUCAUUGGGCGUAAAGCGUCCGCAGGCUGUUUGUUAAGUUGGAUAUUAAAUCUUGGGGCCCAACUCCAAGGCUGUGUCCAAAACUGGCAAACUAGAGUCUUUCAGGGGCAUACGGAAUUCUGUGUGUAGGGGUAAAAUCCGUAGAUACACAGAGGAACACCAAAAGCGAAGGCAGUAUGCUGGGAAAGUACUGACGCUCAUGGACGAAAGCGUAGGUAGCGAACGGGAUUAGAUACCCUCGUAGUC
This 440-nucleotide ribosomal RNA is filed under the name uncultured bacterium. Its description in RNAcentral is "partial 16S ribosomal RNA". It matches the Rfam family "Bacterial small subunit ribosomal RNA", at positions 339 to 795 of the family's 1533-position model. The record is from RNAcentral.